RNAcentral lists this non-coding RNA (24 nucleotides) under Arabidopsis thaliana (thale cress). Lineage: Eukaryota; Viridiplantae; Streptophyta; Magnoliopsida; Brassicales; Brassicaceae. The record is from RNAcentral.
GAUUGGCUUUGUUGUCGGCUCCUC